GACGAACGCUGGCGGCGUGCCUAAUACAUGCAAGUCGAACGCAGUGGGGACGGGCGAGUAACACGUGGGUAACCUCCCUUCAGAGGGGAUAACACUUGGAAACAGGUGCUAAACCGAUACUGAUGGAUGGACCCGCGGUGCAUUAGCUAGUUGGGUAGGGAAAGGAUCACCAAGGCCACGAUUAAUAGCCGACCUGAGAGGGGUCUCGGCCACACUGGGACUGAGACACGGCCCAGACUCCUACGGGAGGCAGCAGUAGUGAAUCUUCGGCAAUGGACGAAAGUCAGACCGAGCAGCGCCGCGUGAGUGAAGAAGGUUUUCGGAUCGUAAGCCUCUGUUGUGAGAAAAGCGGUAACUAACCAGAAAGCCACGCCUAACCACGUGCCAGCAGCCGCGGUAAUAC
RNAcentral lists this ribosomal RNA (403 nucleotides) under uncultured bacterium. RNAcentral describes it as "partial 16S ribosomal RNA". It matches the Rfam family "Bacterial small subunit ribosomal RNA", at positions 28 to 526 of the family's 1533-position model. The record is from RNAcentral.